RNAcentral lists this long non-coding RNA (293 nucleotides) under Elaeis guineensis (African oil palm). RNAcentral's name for it is "long non-coding RNA (EGUI_LNC069576)". The record is from RNAcentral. Lineage: Eukaryota; Viridiplantae; Streptophyta; Magnoliopsida; Arecales; Arecaceae.
GGGCAUUAGGAUGGAGAUGUGUGCCCUAAAGAAGUCGCUACUUUUCUUCAUGCAAGACCUUGCGCACCUCUUUAAUUUUUGUCACGCUAAAUCCUUUCUUACACACACAACCUCCUUUUUAAUGCCCAAGAGAUCUAAUCUCUUUUAAUCUAGGGUGUUGAAAAUCAAAUCAAAAGGUAGAAAGGGUUUUGAGAUAAGGUUGUGAUGUAAGAAAGAAAUCACCAAACAUAAUUAGCGCACGUCUACCUUCUCCAAUUUUCUUAUUGCACAAAAAAAAAAUCUUCCAUACCCCA